GAAAACUGCCCAGUGAGGGCAGUGCACAGGAGUGAAAGUUGAGGGGCUUUUAUGCAAAAUGGCUUUUAUUUGAGUGGGCUGAGCCCUCUCUCUCCCUCACACUCUCUCAUUUCACUCUCUCUCACUCUCUUUCUCUCUUGCUCUCUCUCUCUAGAGAUAACAAAGAAGGAGAAGAAGAAAGAGAAGAAGAAGAAGGAGGAGAAGAAGAAGAAGAAGGAGGAGAAGAAGAAGGAAGCUAGGAGCAUCUUCCUCUCCCUCUCCUCUUCCCAUUGGUGUAGCUCAAGAGGUAAGCUACAAACC
Molecule: long non-coding RNA, 300 nt
Filed under: Ananas comosus (pineapple)
Lineage: Eukaryota; Viridiplantae; Streptophyta; Magnoliopsida; Poales; Bromeliaceae
Description: long non-coding RNA (ACOM_LNC026676)
Source: RNAcentral